Long non-coding RNA from Solanum dulcamara, 543 nucleotides. RefSeq lists it as uncharacterized. The record is from RefSeq and is a predicted model, not a curated record. The transcript is spliced from 2 exons. Lineage: Eukaryota; Viridiplantae; Streptophyta; Magnoliopsida; Solanales; Solanaceae.
CGGGUACCAUUUAUGGUGUUAUGAUGCGAUAUGACAUAUGAUAUGUUCUGAUGAUAUGACAUGUUGUGAUGAUAUAAUGUGUACGGAGUUUGUACGGAGAUUUGAAACCUUCCGGAGUAUGAUGUGUUGUGGUACCAGCGUCAGGGUGGUUACCACGUUCCCGAGCCUUAUGCAUGAUUUUUAUUUGCAUUAUGUACAUAUAUUUUCAGUACAGAUUUUGAUAUCCUGGUUUGGUACAGACGUUCAGGAUCCCUCAACAUAGGCUACACACCUUCUGCUACUACAGAGUGCUCCUUUGACUUAGAACCUGCAUUUCGGUAUAUGGCUUUCCUGUGUACAUGCUUUUGUAUAUUUGACCGUUUGGGUACGGCGAGGCCCUGUCCCGUCAUAUACUUCCAUUAUGUUCUGUAGAGACCUAUAUACAUAGGUGUAGGUCAUGGGUCGUGUAUGUUCGUUCGUGUAUGAUUUGUGUCUUAAUACGGCCCCUUUUGUUAUAACGAUCAAAACGGCCCAUAUGUUUGUAUAUAUGUACGUAUUCGGUGA